This 150-nucleotide ribosomal RNA is filed under the name uncultured cyanobacterium. RNAcentral describes it as "partial 16S ribosomal RNA". It matches the Rfam family "Bacterial small subunit ribosomal RNA", at positions 359 to 525 of the family's 1533-position model. Lineage: Bacteria; Bacillati; Cyanobacteriota. The record is from RNAcentral.
GGAAUUUCCGCAUGGGCGAAAGCCUGACGGAGCAACGCCGCGUGAGGGAUGAAGGCCUCUGGGCUGUAAACCUCUUUUAUCAAGGAAGAAGAUCUGACGGUACUUGAUGAAUAAGCCACGGCUAAUUCCGUGCCAGCAGCCGCGGUAAUA